RNAcentral lists this ribosomal RNA (850 nucleotides) under Melanogaster luteus. Its description in RNAcentral is "eukaryotic LSU rRNA". The stretch from base 259 to 413 matches the Rfam family "5.8S ribosomal RNA". Lineage: Eukaryota; Fungi; Basidiomycota; Agaricomycetes; Boletales; Melanogastraceae. The record is from RNAcentral.
GGGGGAGAUGAUCGAGCGAAGUUUGGUAGAUCGUAGGGAUUGUCGCUGGCCUUUGGCAACGAAGGCAUGUGCACGUUCCGAGCUCUCCUUAGUCCUUGUUUUCUCUUCCUUUGGAGACGUUUCUCAACACCUGUGCACCUUAUUGUAGGUUCCGCAAGGGAUCUAUGUUUUUAUCUACCCCAAAUGCAUGUCUUAGAAUGUUAUUAAUGCGUCGAUCGGCCUGGCUAACGCCUCGUCGGCGACGGUAAAGAAUCAUACAACUUUCAGCAACGGAUCUCUUGGCUCUCGCAUCGAUGAAGAACGCAGCGAAUUGCGAUACGUAAUGUGAAUUGCAGAUUUUCAGUGAAUCAUCGAAUCUUUGAAUGCACCUUGCGCUCCUUGGUAUUCCGAGGAGCAUGCCUGUUUGAGUGUCAUUGAAUUCUCAACCAUCCUUUGAUUUAUUUCGAGGGAUGGCUUGGAUUUUGGGAGUUGCUGGCUGACCCUCGGGACGGUCGGCUCUCCUUAAAAGCAUUAGCGAAAGGUGACAAGCCCUGCAUGCACGGCCUUCGACGUGAUAAUGAUCGUCGUGGCUGGAGUGUGAGGCGUAGAUAGUCCAUUUUUUGCUUCCAAAAACAUUGGUAUUUUGGGGAGUUUGCUUCGGCGGACGAACCUUUUUGCCCUUUUUGACGCUUGACCUCAAAUCAGGUAGGACUACCCGCUGAACUUAAGCAUAUCAAUAAGCGGAGGAAAAGAAACUAACAAGGAUUCCCCUAGUAACUGCGAGUGAAGCGGGAAGAGCUCAAAUUUUGAAUCUGGCGGUCUUUCGGCCGUCCGAGUUGUAAUCUAGAGAAGCGUCUUCCGCGCUGGACCG